GAAGAACACACCUUAAGUGUUUAAAAAUAGGAGACAACUGUGCUAAAUAUCAUAUGAUCUGUCCAAAAGAAUAAAAGCAGUUUAGUAGCAUGGGAUAGUUUCAGAAAUACUAGAAAGUCUUUGAAUGAAUCUGUUUAAAAUAACAUAUGAGGCAGAUGUCGAUAAACUGACUAUUUCUCUUUAUAAUUGAUUUCUAUAAAUACUUUAUUUUUAAUAAUUGUCUUCUUUUCUGUCUGUAAUGUGUUUCAUUUUCACUGCUUUGAGCUUCUGAGCUUCUGCGGAGUGGUAGCACAGGUGAAUGUGAGUCAUGCUGUCGCUCCGAUGACUUUCAUAACGAGGUAACGGCCCCUCAGGGAUCUGCCUCUCCUACCUGCUGUCGGGUCGGAUCCCCUACCUGUCGCCGGAGGUAUCGCACCCAAACCCCCUGCUGAGCAGCAAACUGGGGGAACAGCCACAUCUGUCACUGAUGGAGCAGGACCUGGAGUACCUGUGUGAGGGUCUGGAGGGCCGCUCCUCUAACCCCGUGGCGGUGCUUUUUGAUUCGCUGCUGCUCCCUGACAGCGACUUUGGUCUGGACCACUCGUCUCCUCUGGACUGGAGAUACGAGCCUGAGAGAUCAGUCCCUCACCUGGUGCUGGGGAGGGGCCCGCCGGGGGGCGCCUGGCACGUACGUU
Long non-coding RNA from Notothenia coriiceps (black rockcod), 674 nucleotides. RefSeq lists it as uncharacterized. The record is from RefSeq and is a predicted model, not a curated record. Lineage: Eukaryota; Metazoa; Chordata; Actinopteri; Perciformes; Nototheniidae. The transcript has 3 exons.